RNAcentral lists this ribosomal RNA (253 nucleotides) under uncultured bacterium. RNAcentral describes it as "partial 16S ribosomal RNA". It matches the Rfam family "Bacterial small subunit ribosomal RNA", at positions 524 to 776 of the family's 1533-position model. The record is from RNAcentral.
GACAGAGGGUGCAAACGUUGUUCGGAAUUACUGGGCGUAAAGGGCGCGUAGGCGGCACUGUUAGUCAGGCGUGAAAGUCCUGGGCUCAACCUGGGAACUGCGCUUGAUACGGCAGAGCUAGAGGAUGGAAGAGGCUCGCGGAAUUCCCAGUGUAGAGGUGAAAUUCGUAGAUAUUGGGAAGAACACCGGUGGCGAAGGCGGCGAGCUGGUCCAUUACUGACGCUGAGGCGCGACAGCGUGGGGAGCAAACAGG